AUUGAACGCUGGCGGCAGGCUUAACACAUGCAAGUCGAGCGGAGAUGAAGUGCUUGCACCUUAUCUUAGCGGCGGACGGGUGAGUAAUGCUUAGGAAUCUGCCUAUUAGUGGGGGGCAACAUUCCGAAAGGAAUGCUAAUACCGCAUACGUCCUACGGGAGAAAGCAGGGGAUCUUCGGACCUUGCGCUAAUAGAUGAGCCUAAGUCGGAUUAGCUAGUUGGUGGGGUAAAGGCCUACCAAGGCGACGAUCUGUAGCGGGUCUGAGAGGAUGAUCCGCCACACUGGGACUUAGACACGGCACAGGCUCCUACGGGAGGCAGCAGUGGGGAAUAUUGGACCAUGGGGGGAACCCUGAUCUAGCCAUGCCGCGUGUGUGAAGAAGGCCUUAUGGUUGUAAAGCACUUUAAGCGAGGAGGAGGCUACUGAGACUAAUACUCUUGGAUAGUGGACGUUACUCGCAGAAUAAGCACCGGCUAACUCUGUGCCAGCCGCCGCCGUAA
RNAcentral lists this ribosomal RNA (501 nucleotides) under uncultured bacterium. RNAcentral describes it as "partial 16S ribosomal RNA". It matches the Rfam family "Bacterial small subunit ribosomal RNA", at positions 30 to 523 of the family's 1533-position model. The record is from RNAcentral.